This 606-nucleotide small RNA is filed under the name Pan troglodytes (chimpanzee). RNAcentral's name for it is "processed transcript". The record is from RNAcentral. Lineage: Eukaryota; Metazoa; Chordata; Mammalia; Primates; Hominidae.
ACAAGACAUAGAUGCACUUUAAAAAUGGCAUUUUUAAUUUUACAACUGGCUUUGCUAAAAAUUGUCACUCUUCUCCAGUGUACUAAUAUGAGGUACCCAACAUUUGAAGGUUAAAGAUUCUAUAAAACAGGUCACUGGUGUUACCUAAGGGAAGUGCCCGACAGGGUGGCACCACUACGAAGGCACGGCCAGCUGCUACCGGGUCUACCUGAGCGGGGAGAACUACUGGGAUGCCGCGCAGACCUGCCAGCGCCUGAAUGGCUCUCUCGCCACCUUCUCCACUGACCAGGAGCUGCGCUUUGUCCUGGCCCAGGAAUGGGACCAGCCCGAGCGGAGCUUUGGUUGGAAGGACCAGCGCAAGUUGUGGGUUGGCUAUCAGUAUGUUAUCACUGGCCGGAACCGCUCCUUGGAAGGUCGCUGGGAGGUGGCAUUCAAAGGCUCUUCAGAGGUGUUCCUGCCCCCAGACCCCAUCUUUGCCUCGGCCAUGUCUGAGAACGACAACGUGUUCUGUGCCCAGCUUCAGUGCUUCCAUUUCCCCACCCUGCGGCACCACGACCUCCACAGCUGGCACGCCGAGAGCUGCUACGAGAAGUCUUCAUUUCUGUG